AGGGAAAAUUACCCAGUAACCUGGGUUUAAAAACUAGAUUUCAUAAUUAAAGGGGAUUAAGAUUAAUUUCAUAAUUCAGGUGGGAAAUAAAAAUUAUUAAAUUAAUGUUAUGUUAAAUAAAUAUAUACAUAACACCAUGAAUCUGUCUCCCGUUCUCCUCUCUCUCUCUCUCUCUCUCUCUCUCUCUCUCUAUUUUCUAAUCCCCUGACUCCGGCGAGCACAUCCACCGCGAUGGCACCGUGAGAUCGCUGACGGCGACUUUGCCUAAAGACAUAGCAAGGCUAAUCGUCGUCUCAUAGCUAUGGUUUGGAUCUCCAAUCACGAUCGGAGCUGUUGAAGGGCUCAAAAAAAUUGGGGAGGUGGUGAAACCCUAAUCAUCUUCUCUCCCUACAUUCUCUCUAUCACAAACCACCGCUGGCAACGCUCACGAUGUCGCCACCGCCGACGAAGCGACGUGCUGUGUAGCAGCUCCUCUAAUCGCCACCGUCGGCAACACGACGUGGUGUGUAGCAGCUCCUCUAUCUUCGUUGCUGGUAUGUGAUUUUUUCCGGUGGUUGUGGACCUUGUGGUGUCUGACAUCAAUGCCGCACCGCACCNAUGGUAACUUGCACUGUAAGUAAACUGGUUUCGUCGAAAUAGAUCGUGUUGAGUUGAGCCGUUGAGACGCUAAUUAGAGGAACGUUGGGACGGAUCACGAGGUAGCCAAUGAAGACAACUAAAUGGGCGAUGAUUACUGCCACCGUGAGUAUAGUGCAGAUGAUGGCAACGCACCAGAUGAACGGGCUGGUGGUGCGGUGGCAGGGACCGUCUACUGGCUUUGGCAUUGGAAAUUGGUGGUGGCAACAUCUAGAAAAAAAGUUGUGAUUUAGAGUGUAUAAAAGGUGCUGUUUAGCUGCAAUUUGUGACUGAUGAAUGAUUAUACAUAAGUUUUGGCCUAUAAAAUGUGUGACUUGUGACCAAAAAAGUGGUGAUCAAUUAAUUUAAUAAUUUUGAUCGAUAAAAAAGUUUCAACCUAUAAAAUUUGUGAUUUGUGACUGAAUGUGACCAAUUUUAUAUUGAUUGUGACUUGAUCAUAUUUCGUCACAGUUAAAAGGUUGACCUGGUCACAGACAGACACACUGAAUACAAAUUUGAUCACAUUUAGUCACAAAGAGAAUAAAUUUGGUCACAGUUAGUUACAGAUAAUACACAUUUGUGACUUGGUUAUAGACAACCAUAAAUUAGACGGUCACAGAUAGUAACACUGAAAACAAAGUUGGUCACAGUUAGUCACAGAUUACACAAAUAGUGACUUGGUUAUAUACAGUGAUAAAUUAAACGAUCACAAACAAUCACACCGAAGAUAAAUUUGGUCACAAUUAGUUACAUAUAACAUAGAUCUUGUCGUAAAAAAAUUUGAUCACAUGCAACACAGGUUUUGAUAUAUGCAUAUUCAUUUCACCUAAUUAGGUCACAAAGUCAAUAA
Molecule: long non-coding RNA, 1465 nt
Filed under: Olea europaea (common olive)
Lineage: Eukaryota; Viridiplantae; Streptophyta; Magnoliopsida; Lamiales; Oleaceae
Description: long non-coding RNA (OEUR_LNC002914)
Source: RNAcentral